AUGCAGUGCCUCCUUGCUCUGCCAUGUUGUGCCACCGCCAUUGCUUGGCCGCUGUCUUGCACUCGGUUCGCACCAUACUCCUUGUACUUGCUUGCAGUAGAUCCACUCUUCACUACUCGCACACCUCCUCGCUUUACGAUGGAUUCGCCUACCAUCGUCCGCCUUCGGCAUCACACCGAAUCCACACUGGCCGCAACCAGGACGCUCCACGAGGACGUGGACAUGACUCACGGAACACCGUGCAUACUGCAUCCACUCCAACGAAUCAUCACCAAGACGAGCACUUGGACACGACGACGACUCACAGACGCAACGACAACUGACCGUGCAAACUCGCACGACUCCAUGACUCAUCCGACUCCCCCAGAUGAUGAUCUUGAUGAGCUCCAGCACCGCACCUCGGCACCACCUCCCCCAUCAAUGAUCUUCUUUCACCGCCUUGCCGACGACAACCUGCCGUCUCCCUCCUUGUCUCUCCAAUGA
This 483-nucleotide ribosomal RNA is filed under the name Triticum aestivum (bread wheat). RNAcentral describes it as "partial small subunit ribosomal RNA". The record is from RNAcentral. Lineage: Eukaryota; Viridiplantae; Streptophyta; Magnoliopsida; Poales; Poaceae.